GUGCCAGCAGCCGCGGUAAUACGGAGGGUGCAAGCGUUAUCCGGAUUCACUGGGUUUAAAGGGUGCGUAGGAGGGUAGGUAAGUCAGUGGUGAAAUCUCCGGGCUCAACUCGGAAACUGCCUUUGAUACUAUCUGUCUUGAAUAUCGUGGAGGUGAGCGGAAUAUGUCAUGUAGCGGUGAAAUGCUUAGAUAUGACAUAGAACACCAAUUGCGAAGGCAGCUCACUACACGAGCAUUGACUCUGAGGCACGAAAGCGUGGGGAUCAAACAGGAUUAGAUACCCGCGUAGUCC
RNAcentral lists this ribosomal RNA (292 nucleotides) under uncultured bacterium. Its description in RNAcentral is "partial 16S ribosomal RNA". It matches the Rfam family "Bacterial small subunit ribosomal RNA", at positions 505 to 796 of the family's 1533-position model. The record is from RNAcentral.